Molecule: ribosomal RNA, 1820 nt
Filed under: Salmonella enterica subsp. enterica serovar Agona str. SA-2
Lineage: Bacteria; Pseudomonadati; Pseudomonadota; Gammaproteobacteria; Enterobacterales; Enterobacteriaceae
Description: bacterial LSU rRNA
Rfam family: Bacterial large subunit ribosomal RNA
Source: RNAcentral
GGUUAAGCGACUAAGCGUACACGGUGGAUGCCCUGGCAGUCAGAGGCGAUGAAGGGCGUGCUAAUCUGCGAUAAGCGCCGGUAAGGUGAUAUGAACCGUUAUAACCGGCGAUACCCGAAUGGGGAAACCCAGUGUGACUCGUCACACUAUCAUUAACUGAAUCCAUAGGUUAAUGAGGCGAACCGGGGGAACUGAAACAUCUAAGUACCCCGAGGAAAAGAAAUCAACCGAGAUUCCCCCAGUAGCGGCGAGCGAACGGGGAGGAGCCCAGAGCCUGAAUCAGCAUGUGUGUUAGUGGAAGCGUCUGGAAAGGCGCGCGAUACAGGGUGACAGCCCCGUACACAAAAGCGCAUGUGCUGUGAGCUCGAUGAGUAGGGCGGGACACGUGGUAUCCUGUCUGAAUAUGGGGGGACCAUCCUCCAAGGCUAAAUACUCCUGACUGACCGAUAGUGAACCAGUACCGUGAGGGAAAGGCGAAAAGAACCCCGGCGAGGGGAGUGAAAAAGAACCUGAAACCGUGUACGUACAAGCAGUGGGAGCACAGGUUUACCUGUGUGACUGCGUACCUUUUGUAUAAUGGGUCAGCGACUUAUAUUCUGUAGCAAGGUUAACCGCAUAGGGGAGCCGGAGGGAAACCGAGUCUUAAUUGGGCGUUAAGUUGCAGGGUAUAGACCCGAAACCCGGUGAUCUAGCCAUGGGCAGGUUGAAGGUUGGGUAACACUAACUGGAGGACCGAACCGACUAAUGUUGAAAAAUUAGCGGAUGACCUGUGGCUGGGGGUGAAAGGCCAAUCAAACCGGGAGAUAGCUGGUUCUCCCCGAAAGCUAUUUAGGUAGCGCCUCGUGAAUUCAUCUCCGGGGGUAGAGCACUGUUUCGGCUAGGGGGCCAUCCCGGCUUACCAACCCGAUGCAAACUGCGAAUACCGGAGAAUGUUAUCACGGGAGACACACGGCGGGUGCUAACGUCCGUCGUGAAGAGGGAAACAACCCAGACCGCCAGCUAAGGUCCCAAAGUCAUGGUUAAGUGGGAAACGAUGUGGGAAGGCCCAGACAGCCAGGAUGUUGGCUUAGAAGCAGCCAUCAUUUAAAGAAAGCGUAAUAGCUCACUGGUCGAGUCGGCCUGCGCGGAAGAUGUAACGGGGCUAAACCAUGCACCGAAGCUGCGGCAGCGAACGUAUCACUUAAAGCGAUUCAGCGGGUUACGAUUGACGGAGCGAAGCGACGUCAAAGCGUAUACAAAGUCGAGUCGGUUUAAGGAUACGUUCGUUGGGUAGGGGAGCGUUCUGUAAGCCUGCGAAGGUGGCCUGUGAGGGUUGCUGGAGGUAUCAGAAGUGCGAAUGCUGACAUAAGUAACGAUAAAGCGGGUGAAAAGCCCGCUCGCCGGAAGACCAAGGGUUCCUGUCCAACGUUAAUCGGGGCAGGGUGAGUCGACCCCUAAGGCGAGGCCGAAAGGCGUAGUCGAUGGGAAACGGGUUAAUAUUCCCGUACUUGGUGUUACUGCGAAGGGGGGACGGAGAAGGCUAUGUUGGCCGGGCGACGGUUGUCCCGGUUUAAGCGUGUAGGUGUGUGUUCCAGGUAAAUCCGGUUCACUUUAACACUGAGGCGUGAUGACGAGGCACUACGGUGCUGAAGCAACAAAUGCCCUGCUUCCAGGAAAAGCCUCUAAGCAUCAGGUAACAUCAAAUCGUACCCCAAACCGACACAGGUGGUCAGGUAGAGAAUACCAAGGCGCUUGAGAGAACUCGGGUGAAGGAACUAGGCAAAAUGGUGCCGUAACUUCGGGAGAAGGCACGCUGACACGUAGGUGAAGUGAUUUACUCA